CAUAUCAAUAAGCGGAGGAAAAGAAACCAACAGGGAUUGCCCUAGUAACGGCGAGUGAAGCGGCAACAGCUCAAAUUUGAAAUCUGGCGCAAGCCCGAGUUGUAAUUUGUAGAGGAUGCUUCUAGGUAGCGACCGGUCUAAGUUCCUUGGAACAGGACGUCAUAGAGGGUGAGAAUCCCGUAUGUGACCGGCCCGCACCUUCUACGUAGCUCCUUCGACGAGUCGAGUUGUUUGGGAAUGCAGCUCUAAAUGGGAGGUAAAUUUCUUCUAAAGCUAAAUACCGGCCAGAGACCGAUAGCGCACAAGUAGAGUGAUCGAAAGAUGAAAAGCACUUUGGAAAGAGAGUUAAAAAGCACGUGAAAUUGUUGAAAGGGAAGCGCUUACAACCAGACUUCUGGGCGGUGUUCCGCCGGUCUUUUGACCGGUCUACUCGCCGUCCCGAGGCCAACAUCAUCUGGGACCGCUGGAUAAGACCUCAGGAAUGUAGCUUCCCUCGGGAAGUGUUAUAGCCUGUGGUGAUGCAGCGCGUCUCGGGUGAGGUCCGCGCUUCGGCAAGGAUGUUGGCGUAAUGGUUGUCAGCGGCCCGUCUUGAAACACGGACCAAGGAGUCUAACAUCUAUGCGAGUGUUCGGGUGUCAAACCCCUACGCGUAAUGAAAGUGAACGGAGGUGGGAAGCGUAAGCUGCACCAUCGACCGAUCCUGAUGUCCUCGGAUGGAUUUGAGUAAGAGCAUAGCUGUUGGGACCCGAAAGAUGGUGAACUAUGCCUGAAUAGGGUGAAGCCAGAGGAAACUCUGGUGGAGGCUCGCAGCGGUUCUGACGUGCAAAUCGAUCGUCAAAUUUGGGUAUAGGGGCGAA
This 857-nucleotide ribosomal RNA is filed under the name Ramularia parietariae. RNAcentral describes it as "eukaryotic LSU rRNA". It matches the Rfam family "Eukaryotic large subunit ribosomal RNA", at positions 39 to 927 of the family's 3401-position model. The record is from RNAcentral. Lineage: Eukaryota; Fungi; Ascomycota; Dothideomycetes; Mycosphaerellales; Mycosphaerellaceae.